UGUGGAUGGUAGGGACCUAAAAAUAACUUCUUAGCAUUUCAGGGACUUUUUAUUCAACUUGAAAAGUCAAAAAACUUAAAAAUAAUUUCGAAUGCAUUCAUAUAAAUAAUUUUUCUAUACAAUAACUAAUAUCAUAUAUUUUGUUUGCCUGCUUUUAGUCUCCAAAUAUCCAUCAUCAACAGCCCUUAUCUUCUUGUUUUUUUAAUGAAUAAAACUUGAGGGUUUCCCCGACGUGGGGGCGAGCCUUGUUCUCAUUGUGGGUGACCUCAUCCUCGCUGCUGGGUUGCUGAAUUGUUCGUCGCCCACGCGGUUGAGGGAGAUGGUCUCAGCCCGUCGCAGAAGCCAACAAAUUCCAACGCCUUUCGGCGGUCACUUGGGCGAGGCGUUAUCCGCGGUUUGUAGAGGAGACCACUCUUAAGGUUUGAACGGAGCGACCACUGAACCGUCCCCUUCUCGUAUUAUUUUAACGAGAGGUGUAGACAGGGAGAUAAUUAAUGGUAAUGUCCGUCGUGAUGAAAUGUGGCGUAUGAUCACGAUAUCUACUCUCGUGUUACUCGUGUCUUCAUCCAUCCAUCACAGGGCCCCACCUCAUUUAUGUAUUCUAGGGCUUUCUGUUGGAUUUUUUAUGAGAUGCUGGUAGCAUCUUUUCCACCAACGGAGAUGGGAGGGAAACUCUCACACCC
RNAcentral lists this long non-coding RNA (683 nucleotides) under Elaeis guineensis (African oil palm). RNAcentral's name for it is "long non-coding RNA (EGUI_LNC013462)". Lineage: Eukaryota; Viridiplantae; Streptophyta; Magnoliopsida; Arecales; Arecaceae. The record is from RNAcentral.